This is a long non-coding RNA of Pseudopipra pipra, 1022 nucleotides long. RefSeq lists it as uncharacterized. NCBI's taxonomy places the organism in Eukaryota, Metazoa, Chordata, Aves, Passeriformes, Pipridae. The transcript is spliced from 3 exons. The record is from RefSeq and is a predicted model, not a curated record.
UGUCAGUGCACAGCCCUUUCCAGCCAGGAGAGAAUAUAACGGCUCCAGCCCCCCGGGUUCCCCACAGGCACCAAGGGAGCAGUCAGCCAGCCUGUUUUAGACAUACACACUGCAUAGCCCAGCUUCUGCAAGCAGUUUUGUGGAAAUGUUUGUUCAUCCUGCGACAGCCACGUGAACCAUGGAGAGGUGGCAGGAUAUUACACGGGGCCAUAGAAACCCUGGCUGGAGGGGACACUGGCCAAACCUGCUGCUGACACCAGGCAUCUCAAUCAGGCUGCCUCUUACUCCAAGCCACCUGUGUCACUGAACAGAAGCAUUCUGGAUACAGCCCUGACUGCAGCCCAAAGCAGCUCAGCCUCUCCUGCUCAGGGAAGGCACAGCUCCUUUUCCUCCAGCUGCCAGGAGCACUGCACUGCUCAGAGAGCCACCAGCUCCAGGGGCACCGGAGAGCAGCAUCAACCAAGACUCCUUGUUCAGAAGGGAGGUCAGAUGUGUAACAAGAAACACUGAGUGGUCUGUGGUCACUGAAAGAGGCAGGAAAAUGAAGAGAAAAAACAGCCAAGGACCUCAGCCAAACUUACAACACUGAGUACAGUGUAUCCAUACCACAGACAGCACUUACCAAACCUCCUACUGAACUGUAGAUGGUGCAACAUGACUUGUGGGCUUUGGGAUUUUUGUGAUUGUUGUUGUUUUGGUUUGGUUUUAAUAUUGCAAAGGUUUCCUUUCACUUCAUCUUUCCCACAGUAAGAGCACAUGCCUGUUUUGAGGCGAGCAGUGCAAUGAGCCAGAGGACUCUGUCCCUGGCUUGUUGGUGUUCCCAAGCACUGUGGAUGGUUUGGACAGGCUUACCUAAGAGGGAGCACUGACAUCCCCUGGCACAAUCCUUCCUCCUGUUUGACCCCAGGCUUAAACAUAUCUGAAAUCUAUGUCUCAUCCAGUUCUUCUUGUAGUCCUGCAGCAGCAUCCAGGACAGUGCUCCAAGGCUGUGACAGUUGCCCUAAUAAAACAGUUGUAAAUGG